AGUGAACGCUGGCGGUAGGCCUAACACAUGCAAGUCGAACGGCAGCACAGUAAGAGCUUGCUCUUACGGGUGGCGAGUGGCGGACGGGUGAGGAAUACAUCGGAAUCUACUUUUUCGUGGGGGAUAACGUAGGGAAACUUACGCUAAUACCGCAUACGACCUACGGGUGAAGGCAGGGGAUCUUCGGACCUUGCGCGAUUGAAUGAGCCGAUGUCGGAUUAGCUAGUUGGCGGGGUAAAGGCCCACCAAGGCGACGAUCCGUAGCUGGUUUGAGAGGAUGAUCAGCCACACUGGAACUGAGACACGGUCCAGACUCCUACGGGAGGCAGCAGUGGGGAAUAUUGGACAAUGGGCGCAAGCCUGAUCCAGCCAUACCGCGUGGGUGAAGAAGGCCUUCGGGUUGUAAAGCCCUUUUGUUGGGAAAGAAAAGCAGCAGGUUAAUACCCCGCUGUUCUGACGGUACCCAAAGAAUAAGCACCGGCUAACUUCGUG
This 492-nucleotide ribosomal RNA is filed under the name uncultured bacterium. RNAcentral's name for it is "partial 16S ribosomal RNA". It matches the Rfam family "Bacterial small subunit ribosomal RNA", at positions 29 to 507 of the family's 1533-position model. The record is from RNAcentral.